Molecule: long non-coding RNA, 551 nt
Filed under: Pan troglodytes (chimpanzee)
Lineage: Eukaryota; Metazoa; Chordata; Mammalia; Primates; Hominidae
Description: long non-coding RNA NONPTRT009173
Source: RNAcentral
UUCACCAGCACUAGUAAGGUUCUGAGUAGCUGGCAAGCUCUGAUUGGGAAGUGACAGCCAUGGGCAAAGCUAGUCUGAGAGUUGCAGCAGGUCAUUUCAGGAGUCUUAGAUGAAACUGGUUUCAGGCUACUGCAGGCAGUUUCAGCUGCUAGGCCUACAGAUAAUUACAUUUUUGGAGCAAUGUACUGUGCUCUGGGUGCUAUCCCCACUGGAUUCUUGACUGUGUUUUAGUUGGGUGUGACAAGAAUGGCCCAAUCUGUAUGAUCAGUUUUCACCCCCGGCCCCUCCACCAUCGAGCUAAAACUACAGGAAAGACCCCAAGAAAAACAGCGGGAGAAGUGUCCAGCUGAGCCCCCACCCUACCCAACCCAGAGAGGUGACAAAAUAGGUGUUAAGUCACUGAGAACUUGGGAUGUCUGCAAACCUCUGUCCAUGGCCGAACCCGCCCCACUGCCUGUUACUGUAAAUAAAGGUCUAUUAGCAUGCCGCCAUGCCCCUCCUCCGAUGUACAGUGCCCAGCUCAGCACCUGGUGCAAAGUAAGCACAACCUG